This 2888-nucleotide ribosomal RNA is filed under the name Phryganella paradoxa. Its description in RNAcentral is "SSU rRNA". The stretch from base 1361 to 2888 matches the Rfam family "Eukaryotic small subunit ribosomal RNA". Lineage: Eukaryota; Tubulinea; Elardia; Arcellinida; Phryganellidae. The record is from RNAcentral.
GCAUGUCUAAGUAUAAACAAAUUUGUACUGUGAAACUGCGGACGGCUCAUUAAAUCAGUUACAAUCUACUUGAUCGUAUACUUUACUCGGAUAACCCUAGUAAUUCUAGAGCUAAUACGUGCAAAAAGCCCCGACUCUCUGAUGUGUGAAAGCAUGUUGGAAGGAAAGGGUGUAUUUAUUAGGUACAAGACCACACGGGCUUCGGCUCGGUAUCGACGAUUCAUGAUAACUAAACGAAUCGCAGGCACACGCCGGCGAUGUUACAAACGAGUUUCUGACCUAUCAACUUUAGAUGGCAGAGUAGGGGUUUGCCAUGGUGACAACGGGUGACGGGGAAUUAGGGUUCGAUUCCGGAGAGGGAGCCUGACUUCUCUGAAAUCGUUAUGAACUCGGAACGCGUUCGACUCGUAGCUCGGGGGAGUACGGAAGUCAAGGAUGUAGCUCGAGGGAGUACAUCGUCUCACGGGCCAGUCUUUGGGAUGUUUUUGUCGUCGGUGUUGGGCUCGAUCCGGAUGAACGUAAUAAUACAGGAUACCACUGAUCUUGGUCGUCGACUCUUCGGAGGAAGCGAUCGGGGGACUGUGAAUGUGGUCCGUGGUUUAUGCGAUUCUUGGUCGGGGCUCGAUCGGAUGAACGUAAUAAGCUGGAUACCGCUGAUCCCGACCGUAACUCUUCGGAGGAGGCGAUCGGAGGAAUGCGAUAGUGGUCCGUGGUUUAUGUGAUUCUUGGUCGGGAGUUGGUUGUAUGCUCUUUUGGCAUUAAGUAACACUUGAUUCCCCUGGUGAGUAAGUGCGGUCUUUAGGUCGGGAAACCGGUCGGGAUUGCGCGAGUUCUUAGCCUUCGUCCGUCGGACUAGGCUAUGCUACGGCACCAGAAAGGUCGCGUCUACUUCUUGUCAGCUUCACGACGAGUGGCCUUAAAACCCCCGAUGUUUCCAUUCGGAUUUCCGAUAAUGGUUAAGCAUCGGACCGGUUGCCUACUACGNUCUUGAACGGAGACUAGACCGUGUGCAGAAUUAAGACCUCUAGGACGAGUAGUUAACUACUUGUACCCUNGGGGANUUUUUUUUUGCCGUUAUUAUACCCCAAUUUCGUCGUCGGAAUGUCCCGGGGCUAGUUGCUAAUGAUCAGCGGCGACACCAUCAAAUUGUCCGGAAGUCCUUUGCACCCCCGACACCGCGGUCGACCGAAAAGGUCGGCGCAGCAGGAGGCGUCAUGGCUUCUGGAUGGUAAAAGAUCGGGGGAUCGAGGUAACCGGCAGCCAAAGCCUCUAAUGGUUGCAGUUCACAGACUAAAUGUUGGUGGGUUUUCAGACGAGGGGAACCUAAGAUAUAGUCGGCCCAUCUGCGAAAGCAGAUUUGUCGCGAGUAGUUCGAUCGGGAUCAUUCAUCAGACCGACGGACGAGAGCUCGGCAAGGUGUAUGAUGUAGCUCGAGGGAGUACAUCGGGAAAGUACAUCGGAUCAGCGGAGAAACGGCUACCACUUCCAAGGAAGGCAGCAGGCGCGCAAAUUACCCAAUACCGAUUCGGUGAGGUAGUGACAAGAAAUACCAAUGUAGGACACAACGUGUACUACGUUUGGAAUGAGUACAAUUUAAAAACCUUAACGAGGAACAAUUGGAGGGCAAGUCUGGUGCCAGCAGCCGCGGUAAUUCCAGCUCCAAUAGUGUAUAUUAAAGUUGCUGCGGUUAAAAAGCUCGUAGUUGGAUUUCGGAUCGCGCGGAGUCAGAGCCCAUCCUUAGGGGUGCGUGCUCGACCCCCGCUUCCUACCUUCCGGUAACGCGUGGUCUCUCUUCACGGGGGGGCUACGAGGUUCCGGAUCGUUUACUUUGAAAAAAUUAGGGUGUUCAAAGCAGGCGUAACUUGCAUUCGAAUACAUUAGCAUGGGAUAAUAGAAUACGACUUUGGUCUUAUUUUGUUGGUUUCUAAGGCCGAAGUAAUGAUUGAUAGGGAUAGUUGGGGCCGCUCGUAUUGAGUUGUCAGAGGUGAAAUUCUAGGAUUUACUCAAGACGAACUAAUGCGAAAGCAUUCGGCAAGGAUGUUUUCAUUAAUCAAGAACGAAAGUUGGGGGAUCGAAGAUGAUCAGAUACCGUCGUAGUCUCAACCAUAAACUAUGUCGACCGAGGAUCCGGUAGCGUUACAUGGAUGACCUUCCAGGCACUCUGUGAGAAAUCACAAGUAUUUGGAUUUCGGGGGGAGUAUGGUCGCAAGGCUGAAACUUAAAGGGAUUGACGGAAGGGCACCACCAGGAGUGGAAUCUGCGGCUUAAUUUGACUCAACACGGGAAAACUUACCAGGUCCGGACACAGUGAGGAUUGACAGAUUGAGAGCUCUUUCUUGAUUCUGUGGGUGGUGGUGCAUGGCCGUUUUUAGUUGGUGGAGUGAUUUGUCUGGUUAAUUCCGUUAACGAACGAGACCUUGACCUAUUAAAUAGUGGUGCAAACUCGGUUCUUCCGAGCCGACCCUUCGGGGGAGGUGAGUGGAACCGUGAACGUUAGCAAUAUACUUCUUAGAGGGACUCUUCGCAUCUCUAGCGAAUGGAAGUUUGAGGCAAAAACAGGUCUGUGAUGCCCUUCGAUGUUCUGGGCUGCACGCGCGUUACACUGACGUAUGCAACGAGCUUUAUUCCUGGCCCGAUGGGGUUGGGUAAUCUUUUUAAAGUGCGUCGUGAUGGGGAUAGAACCUUGCAAUUAUUGUUCUUGAACGAGGAAUUCCUAGUAAUUGCAGGUCAACAACCUGCGAUGAUUACGUCCCUGCCCUUUGUACACACCGCCCGUCGCUCCUACCGAUGGUUGAACCGAUGAGGACUCGGGACAUUUGGGGAUCCGGUUGGCCGCAAGGUUGAUCGCCCUAGCUGGAACUUGUUCAAAUCUUUUAACUAGAGAAGAG